AUUUGAUGGUGUGGGCAACUAGCACACAGUUGUUUGAAACGCUCCCAAUAUUCGUAAAGAGUCUCUCCAUUUGCCUGUCUGAUUCCACAUAUCUCUUUUCUGAUAUU
Coffea arabica (coffee) is the source of this 107-nucleotide small nucleolar RNA. NCBI's taxonomy places the organism in Eukaryota, Viridiplantae, Streptophyta, Magnoliopsida, Gentianales, Rubiaceae. The record is from RefSeq and is a predicted model, not a curated record.